This 350-nucleotide ribosomal RNA is filed under the name uncultured bacterium. RNAcentral's name for it is "bacterial SSU rRNA". It matches the Rfam family "Bacterial small subunit ribosomal RNA", at positions 43 to 379 of the family's 1533-position model. The record is from RNAcentral.
GAAUUCACUAGUGAUUCAGGCCUAACACAUGCAAGUCGAGCGGUAGAGAGAAGCUUGCUUCUCUUGAGAGCGGCGGACGGGUGAGUAAUGCCUAGGAAUCUGCCUGGUAGUGGGGGAUAACGUUCGGAAACGGACGCUAAUACCGCAUACGUCCUACGGGAGAAAGCAGGGGACCUUCGGGCCUUGCGCUAUCAGAUGAGCCUAGGUCGGAUUAGCUAGUUGGUGAGGUAAUGGCUCACCAAGGCGACGAUCCGUAACUGGUCUGAGAGGAUGAUCAGUCACACUGGAACUGAGACACGGUCCAGACUCCUACGGGAGGCAGCAGUGGGGAAUAUUGGACAAUGGGCGAA